UGGCAUUCAUCUCCGUGCUGGUCUUUGAGGAGACCUCCAAUACAUGGGUCUGAUUGCUGGAAGGAUAAACCAAAUUCCAUUUAAGACCAAUUCAAGCCUCAUCCAAAUUUCCCCCUGUGAUAGAACGGAGAUACAGCCAAUGGACUUGGAGAUUCAUAUCAUGUCUCCACCUACCCUCUCGUUUUGCCCUGUCGGGUUCAGCCUCUCCACUCCUGCUGAGGAAGACAGAGUGGGUUUGUAGCACUGAAUCAUGGGGUGAGAACCCCAUUGUGCUGUUGGGAGCUGAAGACCAAAAAAAUUCCAUCUCGUUGGGUUUCCUGUGAAGUAGAGAAUGAAGAUUAUUUUAAAGGGAUCCAAGUGGAAUGUUUUUCAAGCUACAAAUAAAGCUAUCUACCCUCCCAA
Long non-coding RNA from Erinaceus europaeus (western European hedgehog), 402 nucleotides. RefSeq lists it as uncharacterized. The record is from RefSeq and is a predicted model, not a curated record. The transcript is spliced from 2 exons. NCBI's taxonomy places the organism in Eukaryota, Metazoa, Chordata, Mammalia, Eulipotyphla, Erinaceidae.